CAGUCACCCCUCUACUCCACUGAC
Molecule: microRNA, 24 nt
Filed under: Pteropus alecto (black flying fox)
Lineage: Eukaryota; Metazoa; Chordata; Mammalia; Chiroptera; Pteropodidae
Description: pal-miR-9997-3p
Source: miRBase by way of RNAcentral